Molecule: ribosomal RNA, 356 nt
Filed under: uncultured Polaribacter sp.
Lineage: Bacteria; Pseudomonadati; Bacteroidota; Flavobacteriia; Flavobacteriales; Flavobacteriaceae
Description: bacterial SSU rRNA
Rfam family: Bacterial small subunit ribosomal RNA
Source: RNAcentral
GAACCUACCUUUUACAGAGGAAUAGCCUUUAGAAAUGAAGAUUAAUGCCUCAUAGUAUUGUAGACUGGCAUCAGUUUAUAAUUAAAGAUUUAUCGGUAAAAGAUGGCUAUGCGUCCUAUUAGUUAGUUGGUAAGGUAACGGCUUACCAAGACAGCGAUAGGUAGGGGUCCUGAGAGGGAGAUCCCCCACACUGGUACUGAGACACGGACCAGACUCCUACGGGAGGCAGCAGUGAGGAAUAUUGGACAAUGGAGGAGACUCUGAUCCAGCCAUGCCGCGUGUAGGAAGAAUGCCCUAUGGGUUGUAAACUACUUUUAUACAGGAAGAAACACUGGUAUGUAUACCAGCUUGACGGU